Molecule: transfer RNA, 85 nt
Filed under: Candidatus Xiphinematobacter sp.
Lineage: Bacteria; Pseudomonadati; Verrucomicrobiota; Spartobacteria
Description: tRNA-Leu
Rfam family: tRNA
About the family: Transfer RNA (tRNA) molecules are approximately 80 nucleotides in length. Their secondary structure includes four short double-helical elements and three loops (D, anti-codon, and T loops).
Source: RNAcentral
GCCGGUGUGGCGGAAUUGGCAGACGCGCUAGACUCAAAAUCUGGUAUCUUUAAGAGAUGUGUGGGUUCAAGUCCCUCCGCCGGCA